Molecule: ribosomal RNA, 473 nt
Filed under: uncultured bacterium
Lineage: Bacteria
Description: bacterial SSU rRNA
Rfam family: Bacterial small subunit ribosomal RNA
Source: RNAcentral
GAUGAACGCUGGCGAGAUGCUUUACACAUGCAAGUCAUACGAGAGUUUUUAACUCAAGUGGCGGACGGGUGAGUAACACGUAAGAAUUUACCUUUAGGAGGGGGAUAACAGAGUAUGAAUUUACCUCGGAGAAAUCGCUGCUAAUACCCCAUAUGCUUUCGAGUGAAAUGGAUUUUUCCGCCUAAAGAGAAGCUUGCGCCUGAUUAGCUUGUUGGUAAGGUAAUGGCUUACCAAGGCGACGAUCAGUAUCUGGUUUGAGAGGAUGAUCAGACACACUGGAACUGAGACACGGUCCAGACUCCUACGGGAGGCAGCAGUGGGGAAUUUUCCGCAAUGGGCGAAAGCCUGACGGAGCAAUCUCGCGUGAGGGAUGACGGCCUAUGGGUUGUAAACCUCUUUUUUCAGGGAGGAAUCAAAUGACGUGUACCUGAAGAAUAAGCAUCGGCUAACUCCGUGCCAGCAGCCGCGGUAAG